UGUCUUGUUUUGUUUGUGAUGUAAUGUAUGCGCACAGUGGACCAAAUACUUUUUUGAUUUUUAGACAAAGUUGCACUUUGUGGUUGAUGCUUCUAACCGGAUGACAAACGCAGCAGUAAAUAUAAAUGACGCAGUAACAAACAAACCGGUCUUUCUGCUCUUAUUAGAAUUGCUUAGCUUCUUGCAACUACACAAAGUCAUAAGGGUCGAGUUUUUUUUUUUUUAAUUAUUAUUAUGUUUGUUUUGGCAACGAGAUAAGCAAAGACCAAGUGCAAAUAAAGCUGAUGAUGAGGCCACUCGUCGGAUAUAGACAUUAUGAUAAGGAACAUAUACGCACACACAAAAAUAUUUACCGCAUUAUAACUGCAAUUGCUAGCACAAAGCUCCGUUUGUUUGCAAGCAGACGCCUAGAAAGAUCCAGACGCCGCCUCAACGAAGCACAGUUGCAUUGCCUGACAAGUGCAAGCAGUUCGAUGAAUAAAUUACGGUACUUGUUCAAAAGUUAACGAGAAUCAAGAACUAAAAGCGAAUGACAUUUAAACGACUCUACAUAAAAACACAUAUACAAAAAAAUUUCUCAUGUGCAUACAUACAUAUGCUUUGUGCCUUUGGGUGAGAGCCACAUACAUAUGUAUGUAUGUGAGGCGUACAAGAUGGCUGCUACGAAAAGAGAAAGAAAACAUAAUAAAAUACGCAAAAAAUAAAGUAAAAAAUCACAUUUCAAAAAUACCAACAUCUCAGAUUAUAUUUUUUGAAAUCAAUUAUUUACUUUACCAGCCGUUUUCUUCACUUAUCUCAUGUCUUUGUUUGGUUAUGUGGACUCUCGCACGCACCCACACACAGAUACAUGCGCAUAUUAGUACACCUCUGGGUACUUUUGCCUGCGUGUAUGUGUGUUUGCAUACAGCUCGUAUGUGCUAAAAUAUUACUGUUAUACCACCACCAUCACCAUACCGAAUUUAAUUUAUUUUAUUUUAUUUUUUAGCUAUGUACACUAAACUACAGCACUACAUAGGAAA
Molecule: long non-coding RNA, 1019 nt
Organism: Drosophila mojavensis
Lineage: Eukaryota; Metazoa; Arthropoda; Insecta; Diptera; Drosophilidae
Exons: 2
Source: RefSeq, a predicted model, not a curated record